This is a non-coding RNA of Trichinella spiralis, 58 nucleotides long. NCBI's taxonomy places the organism in Eukaryota, Metazoa, Nematoda, Enoplea, Trichinellida, Trichinellidae. The record is from Rfam.
AUUCCUUUGUGACGAUAUUCCCUUAAACCAAAAUGGCGGGGAAUAUCUGAUGCGCAAU